AUUGAACGCUGGCGGCAUGCCUUACACAUGCAAGUCGAACGGCAGCACGGGAGCAAUCCUGGUGGCGAGUGGCGAACGGGUGAGUAAAGUAUCGGAACGUGCCCAGUCGUGGGGGAUAACGUAGCGAAAGUUACGCUAGUACCGCAUACGAUCUAUGGAUGAAAGCGGGGGACCGCAAGACCUCGCGCGAUUGGAGCGGCCGAUAUCAGAUUAGGUAGUUGGUGGGGUAAAGGCUCACCAAGCCGACGAUCUGUAGCUGGUCUGAGAGGACGACCAGCCACACUGGGACUGAGACACGGCCCAGACUCCUACGGGAGGCAGCAGUGGGAAUUUUGGACAAUGGGCGAAAGCCUGAUCCAGCCAUGCCGCGUGCAGGAUGAAGGCCUUCGGGUUGUAAACUGCUUCUGUACGGAACGAAAAGGUUUGGGCUAAUAAGCUGAGCUCAUGACGGUACCGUAAGGAUAAGCACCGGCUAACUACGUGCCAGCCGCCGCAGUAA
RNAcentral lists this ribosomal RNA (499 nucleotides) under uncultured bacterium. RNAcentral's name for it is "partial 16S ribosomal RNA". It matches the Rfam family "Bacterial small subunit ribosomal RNA", at positions 30 to 523 of the family's 1533-position model. The record is from RNAcentral.